UGGCCUCCCUAGGUUUGAACCAUCAAACAAAAAUCCUCUUCCAAGCUAUGUUCCCGAGGGUUCCUUUAUAGUCAGGGCGCAUACACCAUUGUCAAAUUUAUUUUCCUGUCUUUGGUUUAAUGAAGUUGAUAGAUUUACAUCCCGUGAUCAAUUAAGCUUUGCUUAUACUUAUUUGAAGGUCAGGAGAAUGAAUCCAGAUAAACCAUUUCAUCUAUAUAUGUUCAAGGAUUGCGAACGUAGAGCAUUGCUGAAGCUAUUCCGGCACAGGACAGGUCCAUCUCCACCAGGGACUGCUUGAACAGUUCCACCUCUAGAUUGCUUGGUCAAUUCCAUCUCCUUAAGGUUCCUUUUGUUUCCACUUGAGAAUAUAUUGGUCAUUUUGAUUGUUCAGUGUCAUCGUUAGAAUUCAAAUCAACGUGUAACUGCGGACUUUUUGUACCCCAGGGAUCCAAAUCCCAAGGGAUGCACACUGAAGAGAAAGGUAAUUAUACUUGACAUCCCUUCCAGCAUGACUAGUAUCAUUUUCAUGUGUAUGUUUUAAGCUGGAUCAGAGAAAGGCAAACUCAACUAUAGCAAAAGCGGAUUCUUGAUCUUCUUGCAUCUGUGGUUAAAAAGUGAUUCCUGAUGCAUUAUUGUUGCCAAUAGUCGGGGUCCAAUGGAAGACCUUGUGAGCGUAAGGGCAAGUUGAUCAACGUUUUAGUCUGUUCAGCUUCCUUGUGUUUUGAGUUAAUUAUGGAGGAAUAGAUGAUUUUACUAACAUGUGAAGUUAGUGGCUUAGUAGAGGUUAUCAGUUAGAGGCUUAACGCUGGAGGUAACAACUUUAAGUAAAUUGCCCAUACAUUUUGGUCAAUCAGGAAUUUUCCUUUUGUAACGCGCCCCGAUAUGAAAGCAAUGAACUACUUUGAUUCAUAGCCAUUGUAUUGCAAAGUAUUAAUAACAUGUUUUUAAUAAUA
Long non-coding RNA from Lathyrus oleraceus (garden pea), 953 nucleotides. RefSeq lists it as uncharacterized. Lineage: Eukaryota; Viridiplantae; Streptophyta; Magnoliopsida; Fabales; Fabaceae. The record is from RefSeq and is a predicted model, not a curated record. The transcript has 3 exons.